RNAcentral lists this ribosomal RNA (403 nucleotides) under Verrucomicrobiota bacterium. RNAcentral describes it as "Verrucomicrobia bacterium partial 16S ribosomal RNA". It matches the Rfam family "Bacterial small subunit ribosomal RNA", at positions 355 to 776 of the family's 1533-position model. The record is from RNAcentral. Lineage: Bacteria; Pseudomonadati; Verrucomicrobiota.
UGGGGAAUAUUGCACAAUGGGCGCAAGCCUGAUGCUGCAACGCCGCGUGAACGAUGAAUGUCUUCGUAUCGUAAAGUUCUGUUGCAGGGGAAGAUAAUGACGGUACCCUGUGAGGAAGCCCCGGCUAACUACGUUCCAGCAGCCGCGGUAAUACGGAAGGUCCGGGCGUUAUCCGGAUUUAUUGGGUUUAAAGGGAGCGUAGGCGGAUUGUUAAGUCAGCGGUUAAAGGGUGUGGCUCAACCAUGCAUUUCCGUUGAAACUGGCGAUCUUGAGUGCAGACAGGGAUGCCGGAAUUCGUGGUGUAGCGGUGAAAUGCUUAGAUAUCACGAAGAACUCCGAUCGCGAAGGCAGGUGUCUGGGCUGCAACUGACGCUGAGGCUCGAAAGUGUGGGUAUCAAACAGG